AUGCUCUGCCUCACCUCCUCCUCGCCCUCGCUCCUGCCGCGCCCUUCCCGUCCCGCUGCUGACCGGCCCGGUCCGGGGAUCUCGGGCGGCGCCAAUGUGCGGCUGAGCGCGGUGCCCGCGCCGUCUCCGCUUCGCUGGAAGGCCAAGAGCGAUUUCUCUGCUCCCGUGUCUGCGCCAAGAGACUACACCAUGGCAACAGCUGAAGAUGGCGUCGGCGACCUUCCGAUAUACGAUCUGGAUCCGAAGUUUGCCGGCUUCAAGGAACACUUCAGUUACAGGAUGAAAAAGUAUCUUGAACAGAAACAUUCGAUUGAGAAAUAUGAGGGGGGCCUUGAAGAGUUCUCUAAAGGCUACUUGAAGUUUGGGAUCAACACAGAAAAUGACGCAACUGUGUACCGGGAAUGGGCCCCUGCAGCAAUGGAUGCACAACUUAUUGGUGACUUCAACAACUGGAAUGGCUCUGGGCACAGGAUGACAAAGGAUAAUUUUGGUGUUUGGUCAGUCAGGAUUUCCCAUGUCAAUGGGAAACCUGCCAUCCCCCAUAAUUCCAAGGUUAAAUUUCGAUUUCACCGUGGAGAUGGACUAUGGGUCGAUCGGGUUCCUGCAUGGAUUCGUUAUGCAACUUUUGAUGCCUCUAAAUUUGGAGCUCCAUAUGACGGUGUUCACUGGGAUCCACCAAUUGGUGAAAGGUAUGUGUUUAAGCAUCCUCGGCCUCGAAAGCCUGACGCUCCACGUAUUUACGAGGCUCAUGUGGGGAUGAGUGGUGAAAAGCCUGAAGUAAGCACAUACAGAGAAUUUGCAGACAAUGUGUUACCGCGCAUAAAGGCAAACAACUACAACACAGUUCAGCUGAUGGCAAUCAUGGAACAUUCAUAUUAUGCUUCUUUUGGGUACCAUGUGACAAAUUUCUUCGCAGUUAGCAGCAGAUCAGGCACGCCAGAGGACCUCAAAUAUCUUGUUGACAAGGCACACAGUUUAGGGUUGCGUGUUCUGAUGGAUGUUGUCCAUAGCCAUGCGAGCAGUAAUAAGACAGAUGGUCUUAAUGGCUAUGAUGUUGGGCAAAACACACAGGAGUCCUAUUUCCACACAGGAGAAAGGGGCUAUCAUAAACUGUGGGAUAGCCGCCUGUUCAACUAUGCCAAUUGGGAGGUCUUACGAUUUCUUCUUUCUAAUCUGAGAUAUUGGAUGGACGAAUUCAUGUUUGAUGGCUUCCGAUUUGACGGGGUAACAUCCAUGCUAUAUAAUCACCAUGGUAUCAAUAUGUCAUUCACUGGAAGUUACAAGGAAUAUUUUGGUUUGGAUACUGAUGUAGAUGCAGUUGUUUACCUGAUGCUCGCGAACCAUUUAAUGCACAAACUCUUGCCAGAAGCAACUGUUGUUGCAGAAGAUGUUUCAGGCAUGCCAGUGCUUUGUCGGUCAGUUGAUGAAGGUGGAGUAGGGUUUGACUAUCGCCUGGCUAUGGCUAUUCCUGAUAGAUGGAUCGACUACUUGAAGAACAAAGAUGACCUUGAAUGGUCAAUGAGUGGAAUAGCACAUACUUUGACCAACAGGAGGUAUACGGAAAAGUGUAUUGCAUAUGCUGAGAGCCAUGAUCAGUCUAUUGUUGGCGACAAGACUAUGGCAUUUCUCUUGAUGGACAAGGAAAUGUAUACUGGCAUGUCUGACUUGCAGCCUGCUUCAAUUACAGUUGAUCGUGGCAUUGCACUUCAAAAGAUGAUUCACUUCAUCACCAUGGCCCUUGGAGGUGAUGGCUACUUAAAUUUUAUGGGCAAUGAGUUUGGCCACCCAGAAUGGAUUGACUUUCCAAGAGAAGGCAACAACUGGAGUUAUGAUAAAUGCAGACGCCAGUGGAGCCUCGCGGACAUUGAUCACCUACGAUACAAGUACAUGAACGCAUUUGAUCAAGCAAUGAAUGCGCUCGACGACAAAUUUUCCUUCCUAUCAUCAUCAAAGCAGAUUGUCAGCGACAUGAAUGAGGAAAAGAAGAUUAUUGUAUUUGAACGUGGAGAUCUGGUUUUCGUCUUCAAUUUUCAUCCCAGUAAAACUUAUGAUGGUUACAAAGUCGGAUGUGACUUGCCUGGGAAGUACAAGGUAGCUCUGGACUCCGAUGCUCUGAUGUUUGGUGGACAUGGAAGAGUGGCCCAUGACAACGACCACUUCACGUCGCCUGAAGGAGUACCAGGAGUACCUGAAACAAACUUCAACAACCGCCCUAACUCAUUCAAAAUCCUGUCUCCAUCCCGUACUUGUGUGGCUUACUAUCGCGUCGAGGAAAAAGCGGAAAAGCCCAAGGGUGAAGGAGCUGCUUCUUGGGGCAAAACUGCUCUCGGGUACAUCGAUGUUGAAGCUACUCACGUCAAAGACGCAGCAGAUGGUGAGGCGACUUCUGGUUCCUAA
Molecule: ribosomal RNA, 2397 nt
Filed under: Triticum aestivum (bread wheat)
Lineage: Eukaryota; Viridiplantae; Streptophyta; Magnoliopsida; Poales; Poaceae
Description: partial small subunit ribosomal RNA
Source: RNAcentral